RNAcentral lists this unclassified non-coding RNA (374 nucleotides) under soil metagenome. RNAcentral describes it as "partial contains internal transcribed spacer 2 and large subunit ribosomal RNA". The stretch from base 1 to 120 matches the Rfam family "5.8S ribosomal RNA", at positions 35 to 154 of the family's 154-position model. The record is from RNAcentral.
GAUGAAGAACGUAGUGAAAUGCGAUACGUAAUGUGAAUUGCAGAAUUCCGUGAAUCAUCGAGUCUUUGAACGCACAUUGCGCCUCAUGGCAUUCCGUGAGGCAUGCCCAUCUCAGCGUUAGAAAAUAUUCUCAAAUUUUAGUUUUGUGCUAAAAUUUGGAUCAUGUCAAGGAAGCUAUUACUAUUAUUGUGAUCGCUCUUUGGAAAUUGAUAGGUCUUUGAGUUGCUACUCAUAGAACGUGAUGAAUCUUUCUUCGUUCUAUUGUAAUUCACUCUGGUAGUCCUAAAACUUGUAUGCCUGUGGCAUAUCUUGUAAUUUGACCUGAGAUUGGGUAGGGAUACCCGCUGAACUUAAGCAUAUCAAUAAGCGGAGGA